Molecule: ribosomal RNA, 779 nt
Filed under: uncultured bacterium
Lineage: Bacteria
Description: bacterial SSU rRNA
Rfam family: Bacterial small subunit ribosomal RNA
Source: RNAcentral
CGGGUAUUGAGGAUGGCGGACGGGUGAGUAUUUCGUAAGGAACUUGCCUCUUGGUCUGGGACAACUGUUGGAAACGACAGCUAAUACCGGAUAUUAUGAGAUUCUCGCAUGGGAAACUUAUGAAAGCUAUAUGCGCCAAGAGAGAGCCUUGCGUUCCAUUAGCUAGUUGGUGGGGUAACGGCCCACCAAGGCGACGAUGGAUAGCCGGCCUGAGAGGGUGAACGGCCACAAGGGGACUGAGACACGGCCCUUACUCCUACGGGAGGCAGCAGUGGGGAAUAUUGGACAAUGGACCAAAAGUCUGAUCCAGCAAUUCUGUGUGCACGAUGAAGGUCUUCGGAUUGUAAAGUGCUUUCAGUUGGGAAGAAGCAAGUGACGGUACCAACAGAAGAAGCGACGGCUAAAUACGUGCCAGCAGCCGCGGUAAUACGUAUGUCGCAAGCGUUAUCCGGAUUUAUUGGGCGUAAAGCGCGUCUAGGCGGAAAAAUAAGUCUGAUGUUAAAAUGUGGGGCUCAACUCCGUAUUGCGUUGGAAACUGUUUUUCUAGAGUACUGGAGAGGUGGGCGGAACUACAAGUGUAGAGGUGAAAUUCGUAGAUAUUUGUAGGAAUGCCGAUGGAGAAGUCAGCUCACUGGACAGAUACUGACGCUAAAGCGCGAAAGCGUGUGGAGCAAACAGGAUUAGAUACCCUGGUAGUCCACGCCGUAAACGAUGAUCACUAGGUGUUGGGGGUCGAACCUCAGCGCCCAAGCUAACGCGAUAAGUGAUCCGCCUGGGGA